Ictalurus punctatus (channel catfish) is the source of this 634-nucleotide long non-coding RNA. Lineage: Eukaryota; Metazoa; Chordata; Actinopteri; Siluriformes; Ictaluridae. The record is from Ensembl.
UGAACAUUGAUGUUCUUAACGCUGCAGCUUUAAUGCAGUCAGGAACCCCUUCACAAUGUUAAUUUGGGAACAGUUGUGCAAUAUAAAUGCAGUAAUUACCUAACAAAUAAACAGUAUACAGUCAUGUGAAAAAAUAAGUACACUCUAUGGAAAUUGUUUUUUUUUGUUGGCAUAUUUGGACAAGCAAACAUUUGAUCUUCUUUGAAACAGUACCUAUAAAGUUGACACACUCUAUCAAAUGACACAUAAAAUUGACUUUUUUUUUUUUUUUUUUUUUUAGUAAUUUUCACGAUUCAGAUUAACAAAAAAACAGAUCAGUCACAUGGAAAAAAAUCAAUUAGCCUCCAUGUCCCUGUGGAUGCCAGUGCUUCUCCUGUCUAGGAGGAAAUACUGCAAACUACUGGAUUUGUGACUCAUAGACACUGAAAUAUCAUCUUGAGGCGCUUGGUGAUUUUCUGUCACACAAACUGCCAGCACCAUAAAAGAGACAUCAUUAACUUUUUGCUCCAUGGGAAUGCAACAAGACCCAAUCCAGCAGCCCCGCCUUACCUUUUACUUACCUCCCUCCCUCCUGUCCUCAUCCCUUCUUUCUCUGCUCACUUGUCAAAGCCUCUCAUUUGCAAAGAGAAUGAGU